RNAcentral lists this ribosomal RNA (433 nucleotides) under uncultured bacterium. RNAcentral describes it as "partial 16S ribosomal RNA". It matches the Rfam family "Bacterial small subunit ribosomal RNA", at positions 29 to 507 of the family's 1533-position model. The record is from RNAcentral.
AACGAACGCUGGCGGCAUGCCUAACACAUGCAAGUCGAACGAGACCUUCGGGUCUAGUGGCGCACGGGUGCGUAACGCGUGGGAACCUGCCCUUAGGUUCGGAAUAACUCCCCGAAAGGGGUGCUAAUACCGGAUAAUGUCUUCGGACCAAAGAUUUAUCGCCUUUGGAUGGGCCCGCGUUGGAUUAGCUAGUUGGUAGGGUAAAAGCCUACCAAGGCGACGAUCCAUAGCUGGUCUGAGAGGAUGAUCAGCCACACUGGGACUGAGACACGGCCCAGACUCCUACGGGAGGCAGCAGUGGGGAAUAGUGGACAAUGGGCGAAAGCCUGAUACAGCAAUGCCGCGUGAGUGAUGAAGGCCUUAGGGUUGUAAAGCUCUUUUACCCGGGAUGAUAAUGACAGUACCGGGAGAAUAAGCGCCGGCUAACUCCGUG